AGCGCCAGACUGCGGAUCUGGAGGUUGGGGGUUCGAAUCCCCCCGGGCACGCCA
This 54-nucleotide transfer RNA is filed under the name Thermotoga petrophila. Its description in RNAcentral is "tRNA-Ser". It matches the Rfam family "tRNA", at positions 22 to 71 of the family's 71-position model. From Rfam's summary of the family: Transfer RNA (tRNA) molecules are approximately 80 nucleotides in length. Their secondary structure includes four short double-helical elements and three loops (D, anti-codon, and T loops). Lineage: Bacteria; Thermotogati; Thermotogota; Thermotogae; Thermotogales; Thermotogaceae. The record is from RNAcentral.